UACAGAGGGUGCGAGCGUUAAUCGGAGUGACUGGGCGUAAAGGGCGCGUAGGCGGUUAUAUUAGUCUGAUGUGAAAGCCCUGGGCUUAACCUGGGAUAGGCAUUGGAAACGGUAUGACUGGAGUGUGUGAGAGGGAAGGGGAAUUUCCGGAGUAGCGGUGAAAUGCGUAGAUAUCGGAAAGAACACUAGUGGCGAAGGCGACUUUCUGGCACACAACUGACGCUGAGGCG
This 230-nucleotide ribosomal RNA is filed under the name uncultured prokaryote. RNAcentral's name for it is "partial 16S ribosomal RNA". It matches the Rfam family "Bacterial small subunit ribosomal RNA", at positions 524 to 753 of the family's 1533-position model. The record is from RNAcentral.